GUUCUUCAGGCACUCUAUCAGAUCUAGUCCCUUGAAUCUAUUUGUCAGUUCCACUGUAUAAUUUUAGGGGGGUUGAUUAGGUCAUCCCUGAACGGUCUAGUGGUUUUCCCUAUACUUUCAUAUUAAGUCUGAAUUUGGCAAUAAGGAGUUCAUGGUCUGAGAUUAUUUCAGAUUUGGGCUACUAUAGAUGAUACUGCUAUUAACAUUCUUGUGGAUAUACUUUGGUGCCUGACAUUCUGUAGUGUUCAUAUUCAGAGUGAAAUUGCUAGGACAUAGCUGCCCAUAUCUUCAUACUAGGCAAUUUUUUAUGUAGCACUCAAAAUCAGGCAAAAUUAACUCGCAUAUAAGUAUUUUCAGUCUCUACUAUGUAUGUAAAGAUGUUUUUCAAAGUGGUUGCACCAAUUUAAAUGUCAUCAAAAGUCAUGAUAACUCCUAUUUCUUCAUAUCGUUAACACUGUUUGGGAUUAUCAUACUAAUAUCAUCAUAUUUCUUUCUGCUUCUCAUUUCUUACCCCUCCCUUCUUUUUUGGUUUUCUGUUUGUUUAUCCCUUUGUACCCUGGAUAUUAAUUCUAAUAUGUAACAGGUCACUAAGUCUCUAUUCAUCUGUUUCCAAUUAUACUGAUAAACUCAGUCAUUUAGUUACUAACUUUGGUCAUUGUCUUUUCUAACUGUUAAAUUUCUGUUUAGUUCUUUUUAAUUUUAACAAUGACACUUUCUUUAGUUUUUUAUUUCCUGCCAAAAGAGUUUUCCCCUAUUUCCGUAAAAAUAGUAAACACAAUUUUUGUAAUAUGCAUUUGAAAAUUUCAGCAUUUACCUUCUUGAAGGAUCCGUUUCUGUUAUAUAUUAUUCCUGCUGCUUCUAUAUUUGAAAUAUAAUUUCCUUUUACAUAAUUGUAGAAGGGAAUGGCCAACCCACUCCAGUAUUCUUGCCUAGGAGAAUUCCAUGGACAGAGGAGCCUGGCAGGCCUCAGUUCAUUGGCUGACAGAAGUCAGAAACAACUUAGUGACUAACACUUUACAUAAUAUCUUUAACUUUUGCUUUGGACAGAAUAUUCAACCAACUCUUUGAAGGGACAAUACAAGACCUAAAAUAAAAAUACUUUCUUCCCAGAGGAUUUUUUUUUUCUGUCAGGAAUCUGGAGUCUAUCAGUCUGACACCAACUUAACUUGUUUUAAAAUAUGACACAAAUUAUGGUAUCUUAUAUUUUAAUCUACUCAUUGAAAAUUUUGAGGUCCAAAGAGAUAAAAUUGAAGUAAGAUGAGCUGAGACAAUGCCUUUGUCUUCUGUAACUUACUGUGUGAUUUUGAGUUGAAACUUUUGUUUCUAAUUUUUCUUAUCUGUUGAAAUAGUGCGUGCCUGUAACCCCCGGCAUAGUGAUUUUGCUUUUUUGUUCAUAUCUAUUUGGCAAGGCCAAGUCUUCGUUGUGGCAAGUAGAAUCUUAAACCUUUAGUUGUGGCUUGCAGAAUCUAGUUCCCUGACCAGGGAUCCAGCCUUAGCCCCCUUCAUUGGGAGUGUGGAGCCUUAGCCACUGGA
This 1533-nucleotide long non-coding RNA is filed under the name Capra hircus (goat). RNAcentral's name for it is "lncRNA (ENSCHIG00010010033.1)". The record is from RNAcentral. Lineage: Eukaryota; Metazoa; Chordata; Mammalia; Artiodactyla; Bovidae.